AGAAAGUUGGUUUUACCUGAAGAACU
Molecule: non-coding RNA, 26 nt
Filed under: Cricetulus griseus (Chinese hamster)
Lineage: Eukaryota; Metazoa; Chordata; Mammalia; Rodentia; Cricetidae
Source: RNAcentral